UAAUACGUAGGGUGCGAGCGUUAAUCGGAAUUACUGGGCGUAAAGCGUGCGCAGGCGGUUUGUUAAGUCAGAUGUGAAAGCCCCGGGCUUAACCUGGGAACUGCGUUUGAGACUGGCAAGCUAGAGUCUGUCAGAGGGGGGUAGAAUUCCACGUGUAGCAGUGAAAUGCGUAGAGAUGUGGAGGAAUACCGAUGGCGAAGGCAGCCCCCUGGGAUAAGACUGACGCUCAUGCACGAAAGCGUGGGGAGCAAACAGGA
This 257-nucleotide ribosomal RNA is filed under the name uncultured archaeon. RNAcentral's name for it is "partial 16S ribosomal RNA". It matches the Rfam family "Bacterial small subunit ribosomal RNA", at positions 521 to 777 of the family's 1533-position model. The record is from RNAcentral.